This 253-nucleotide ribosomal RNA is filed under the name uncultured bacterium. RNAcentral's name for it is "partial 16S ribosomal RNA". It matches the Rfam family "Bacterial small subunit ribosomal RNA", at positions 524 to 776 of the family's 1533-position model. The record is from RNAcentral.
UACGUAGGGGGCAAGCGUUGUCCGGAUUUAUUGGGCGUAAAGAGCGUGUAGGCGGCCAGGUAGGUCCGCUGUGAAAACUCGAGGCUCAACCUCGAGAUGUCGGCGGAAACCAUCUGGCUAGAGUCCGGAAGAGGAGAGUGGAAUUCCUGGUGUAGCGGUGAAAUGCGCAGAUAUCAGGAGGAAUCCCGGGGGUGUAGACGGCUCCCGGGACCGCCACUGACGCUGAGACACGAAAGCGUGGGUAGCAAACAGG